RNAcentral lists this ribosomal RNA (300 nucleotides) under uncultured Thermus sp. RNAcentral's name for it is "bacterial SSU rRNA". It matches the Rfam family "Bacterial small subunit ribosomal RNA", at positions 496 to 795 of the family's 1533-position model. Lineage: Bacteria; Thermotogati; Deinococcota; Deinococci; Thermales; Thermaceae. The record is from RNAcentral.
GCAAAGAAGUGGGCCGGAGCGGCGGUAAAAGGGCGUGGGCGAGCGUGGUCCGGAAUGUCUGGGCGUAAAGCGCACGCGUGCGGUUAUGUAAGUCGGACGUUAAAGCGCCUAGCGCAACGGGUAGAGGUCGUUCUAAACUGCAUAGCUUGAGGUUGGAAGAGGAGAGCGGAACUCCCGGUGUAGGGGUGGAAUGCGUAGAUAUCGGGAGGAACACCAGUGGCGAAAGCGGCUCUCUGGUCCACACCUGACGCUCAGGUGCGAAAGCGUGGGUAGCGAACGGGAUUAGAUACCCCGGUAGUC